RNAcentral lists this microRNA precursor (159 nucleotides) under Pelobates cultripes (western spadefoot toad). Lineage: Eukaryota; Metazoa; Chordata; Amphibia; Anura; Pelobatidae. The record is from RNAcentral.
GCUGACACAUCCCGACCAAUCUCCAGCAGACCCUCCCUCCCAGACCCUCCUACUUCCUGGACAGCAUCCAUGUUGAAGGCAGCUUCAACAUGGAUGCUGUCCAGGAGGUGGGAGGGUCUGGGAGGGAGGGUCUGCCGGAGAUUGGCAGGGAUGUGUCAG